RNAcentral lists this ribosomal RNA (303 nucleotides) under uncultured bacterium. RNAcentral describes it as "partial 16S ribosomal RNA". It matches the Rfam family "Bacterial small subunit ribosomal RNA", at positions 507 to 809 of the family's 1533-position model. The record is from RNAcentral.
AGCAGUAGCCGCGGUAAUACGGAGGGUGCAAGCGUUAAUCGGAAUUACUGGGCGUAAAGCGCACGCAGGCGGUCUGUCAAGUCAGAUGUGAAAUCCCCGGGCUUAACCUGGGAACUGCAUUUGAAACUGGCAGGCUAGAGUCUUGUAGAGGGGGGUAGAAUUCCAGGUGUAGCGGUGAAAUGCGUAGAGAUCUGGAGGAAUACCGGUGGCGAAGGCGGCCCCCUGGACAAAGACUGACGCUCAGGUGCGAAAGCGUGGGGAGCAAACAGGAUUAGAUACCCGGGUAGUCCCUGUCUCUUAUAA